RNAcentral lists this ribosomal RNA (441 nucleotides) under Triticum aestivum (bread wheat). RNAcentral's name for it is "partial small subunit ribosomal RNA". Lineage: Eukaryota; Viridiplantae; Streptophyta; Magnoliopsida; Poales; Poaceae. The record is from RNAcentral.
AUGCCCACGCCAUCGCCAUCGCCAUCUCCAUCGCCCCCUCCACCUCCUCGCAUGUCAGCGGAGGAGGAGGCCCGUCUCCUCAGGCGUGUCAUGGACGACUCCAUGUACACGCACGACGAGCGGCAAUGGGACGUCGCCUUCCCGGAGCUCCAGAUGGUGGCCGUGGAGGACGAGAGGAGGGAGGACCCGCCGGCCGCGUUCCAGCAGCUGCUGGGCCAGGGGUGGUGCUGGUCCUGCACUGCUCCGGAGAUGUCCGCCGGCGUGGGCGUGAACUGGUGCCCCACUCAGCCGCGGUCACCGGAGCGGGAGGCCUUGCCACGGGAGGAGGUGGUGCAGGCCGUCCAGCCCGCCCCCGUCCACCACGCACCUCCGGCCCAUUUGUGGACGCCGCCGGACUACGUCGACCUCGUCAGCGACGACGACGACACCGGCGGCCAGUGA